AUGGAACUCGGUGCUGGAGGCCGUUGCGGCUGGAGUGCCGAUGUUGUGCCUGCCGCUGGAAGCGGAGCAGAAGAUGAACAAGGUGUGCAUGACAGAGGACAUGGGCGUCGCUCUCGAGCUGGAGGAAUACAUGGCAAGUUUUGUAAGGCAGAGGAGGUGGAUGCCAAGGUGAGGCUGGUGAUCGAGGGCGAGGAUGGGAGGCAGCUCAGGGCCCGGGUGGCUGCUCGCAGGGAAGAGGCCAAGGCGGCGCUGGAGGAAGGGGGCUCGUCGCGGGCGUCGUUUGCCCGGUUUUUGUUGGACGUGGACAAUCUCGGAAAGCAGCUCAGCGAGUGA
RNAcentral lists this ribosomal RNA (333 nucleotides) under Triticum aestivum (bread wheat). RNAcentral's name for it is "partial small subunit ribosomal RNA". The record is from RNAcentral. Lineage: Eukaryota; Viridiplantae; Streptophyta; Magnoliopsida; Poales; Poaceae.